Molecule: long non-coding RNA, 1646 nt
Organism: Patella vulgata (common limpet)
Lineage: Eukaryota; Metazoa; Mollusca; Gastropoda; Patellidae
Exons: 3
Source: RefSeq, a predicted model, not a curated record
CCCUUAUUUCAUGAUGGACGAAUGUAGUGCGAGUUAUAAAUAGACAAUUUUUCCCUUAAUUUUUUUCUCCCCUCUUCCUGCAUUUUUGGGUUGACUUUUUGGUCUAGAAUUGGAGAAAAGGGAUCAAAUUUGCAAUUUCAUAGCAGUUUUGGGUAAUACUGAUGAUAUUACAGCGGAGGGAUAGGGGGUGUAAAGUGUCUUUCUGCAGAGCAAUCAUUGUGUCGGAAGUGAGAUUUCCACCCCUGUCAACUUCAAAUCUGUGUAGCAAAAAAUCUAAAUGGUCAACCCCCUACAAAAUUAUGAUGAGGAGAUUGCCAAAUGUUGUCCCCAUUGUGCCUAUAAAGAUUGGAACCAACGGAAUGUUGAGCAAAAAGCUACAGCCUGUGAUGUUACAGUCAUUUAACAUUGAAGUCAAUGGGCAAAUAAUUGCUAGUCUGAGUCCUGAUGAAAUAAUGAAGCAUGGCCGACUCGGAAUGUUGAUAUUUUUUCAACGGCUUGUUUCCUGAAGUUUUGAAUGGAAAGUGUCAGAAAUGGUGCCCAGGUAAUGUUUCAUAGAGUGGAAUGAUUGACCUCAACACAAGUAUUAAAAAAAAAAGAAGCAAAACAGGUCUACAUCUCAAAACCUGAUCUCUUCCUGAACUGGCUUUAGGAGAACGAUGAUGCAUAUCAAUUUCAUCCCUGAUCUCUAUGACACCUGUGGUGGAAGUGGAGGGCAAAUCGUAAUCAGUUUGGGUUCCAGCCCCGAGGACCUUUGUAAACUUUGCUUUUUGGUGAUGACUUAAUUUCCGAGCUUGAAAAGGACGCUUGUGUGUUUAUCAUGGCCUCUCAUAUUGGAAGAUAACAUUAAUGGCUUGUGUGUUGAUCGACGGUUGUGCAUAUCUCUUGGUCAGGAAAGUUGUAGGCACCAUCGCCAUUGUAAAUCAUUUGACAGGCCCGAGUGAACGGGGCGACCUAUGAUUGGUCAGCAAUGUAUCAGAUUCCAUACCGGGGGGUGGGGAUGAAAAAACUGUUGUAGUGUUACAUAAUCAGAUUAUUUCAACUUACUUAUCCUGUGGAAAUACAGCUAUAUAGGAGAUAUUUUGAAAUUCAUAGGCACUGCAUGUUUCAACAUUUUAGAUUUGACCACAAUUUGGCACUUGAAACUAUGUUAACAGAGAAAAACUGUGUGGUUUUCGAUGAAAGUGUUAAAAGUCUAAUAUUGCAUCAUGAUUACUGUUUUAAAGUAUUUUCGUGUUUGAUUUAUAUUGAAUUCAUCUCAUCUUUUUGAAGAAUGCAUUUAUGUUCAAAAAUAAAAAUGUUCUGUGGAAUUCAAAAUUGAUGUGCUUUUAAAUUAUCAGAUUCCAAACUGGGGGUGGGGAUGAAAAAGCUGUUGUAGUGUUACAUAAUCAGAUUAUUUCAACUUACUUAUCCUAUGGAAAUACAGCUAUAUAGGAGAUAUUUUAAAAUUGAUAGGCACUGCAUGUUUCAACAUUUUAGAUUUGACCACAAUUUGGCACUUGAAACUACGUUAACAGAGAAAAACUGUGUGGUUUUCGAUGAAAGUGUUAAAAAGUCUAAUAUUGCAUCAUGAUUACUGUUUUAAAGUAUUUUCGUGUUAGAUUUAUAUUGAAUUUAUCUCAUCUUUUUACAGAAUGCAUUUAUGUUCA